AUGGUUGAAGAACCACUCAAAAUCUAUCACACUGCUGAAGCUUUUUACUUGGAUCAUCUUCGAUCCCUUUGUGCUCGUGCCGGAACCCCAACUAGCUUAGUUGAGGGCAAAUCUUUAGAUGAACAUGCUUGUUAUGUGCGACACCGUAUAUCUGAAAAAGGGAAAUUAUUAUGGAGUCAAAUUCAACGUUUGCAAUGCUAUGCUUGGAAUUUAUGUGAAAUAUAUGAUUUUACUUGUUGUUCUGAAAACCCUAAGAAACACCUUCCCUAUCAAUGUGAGUUUAGUGAUAAUGGAAUCGUAUCUUCGUAUGCUAAGGGUGUUUACAAUUACUAUGAUGUUCAACAAAUGGAAGAAUUUGUUGCUUUUGAGGGUGCUUAUGAAAUUGCUUCUUUGAUUGAAAAGUAUGAUGCUACUUUUCACAAAUCUGAAAAUUUUGCUAUACUUAAAUAUUGCUAUGAUAAUUAUGCUUCUAAUACCUAUGUUAAACAACAUAUUGAGGAAUACUUCGCUGUCCAAGAAGAGACUAAUAUUUUGCAGGAGACUAUGGAAGAAGAAAUUGAUGAAACUGUGAGCUCAUUGGAUGAAAAAGAUGAUGAGGAGAGUGAAGAACAAAAGGAGGAAGAGUGGAUUGAUCACUCGUGCCCACCUUCUAAUGAGAGUAACUCUUCAACUCAUACAUUGUUUAAUUCCCCUUCGUGCUUACCGAAGGAUGAUUGCUAUGAUGACUGUUAUGAUCCCAUUGAUUCUCUUGAAAUAUCCCUUUUUGAUGAUGCUUGCUAUGCUUGUGGCCAAGAUGCCAAUAUGAAUGAUGCUUAUGGAGAUGAACUUGCUAUAAUUCCUUAUGUUAAACAUGAAAUUGUUGCUAUUUCACCCACGCAUGAUAGUCCUAUUAUCUUUUUGAAUUCUCCCGACUACACUAUAUCGGAGAAGUUUGCCCUUAUUAAGGAUUACAUUGAUGGGCUGCCUUUUAUCGUUGCACAUGAUGAUUUUGAUGAAUAUAAUAUGCAUGUGCUUGCUGCUCCUACUUGCAAUUAUUAUGAGAGAGGAACUAUAUCUCCACCUCUCUAUGUUUCCAAUACGAUAAAAUUGCAAGAAAUUGUUUAUACUAUGCAUUGGCCUUUACUAUGUGUGCAUGAAUUGUUCUUUUAUGACAUGCCGAUGCAUAGGAAGAGAGUUAGACUUCGUCAUUGCUUGAUAUAUGUUGCUUUGUGCUCACUACUAAAUUACAAAUCAUUGUUAAUUAAAAUUGGCUUUGAUAUACCUUGGGAUCCGGGUGGAUUCACUACUUGA
RNAcentral lists this ribosomal RNA (1290 nucleotides) under Triticum aestivum (bread wheat). RNAcentral describes it as "partial small subunit ribosomal RNA". The record is from RNAcentral. Lineage: Eukaryota; Viridiplantae; Streptophyta; Magnoliopsida; Poales; Poaceae.